UCGACUUCUACGGCGGCAGCGGCGCCGCGGUCACCACCACCACUGCCACUGCCACUGCCACCAAGAACAAGAAGAAGGCCAGGAUGAGCUAAGAUUGUUAGCAUGUCUCUUCAAUGUAAAUGGGACACCUUUGUGUUUGCUUCUGCAAGAGUCAAAAAGGUUUUCCACAACAGCAAGUCUCUAUCUCUGUGUUUGGUCUUAAUACUGUGAUGCAGGAUUCAUGAAACGAGCACUUCUCUUCAUAUUAGUGCUCGGAUUAGAUUUGUAGAAAUAGCUGAAAGGAGAAAUGAUGCAUUCAAGAAAUCCUUACAAUAAUAUAAUUCAUGGAUGCAAUGAAAAAAGACAUAUUUCUGAAGCUAUAUAAAGAGAGAUUUAUGUAUAACACAGAUUGUUGUGUAAAAUGAGAUGCAGUCUGGAAGAUUAGGGACACUGAAAACUUAAUGGAAAUCAAUCAAAAAAGAGAAUUUAAUGUGCUAGCAAUGGACAGACAGAGUUGAGAAUAUUAUUUGUGUAGAUAAGAUAAUAAAUACAAUCCAUUUGCACCCCUCACCUUUCUCUCUUCUUCUUCUUACACUCCACUUUGGAUAUAUACAAAGCAACAUUAUUGAUUGCAUGUUGUUGGUGUUCCACAGUUGAACAACAGCUCAGCUUUUCUUCCUUCUUCACCUCUCUGUAUAAAUCCAAAAAAACAAUCUAGUUUUGACUUUUGAGUGCAAAAUAACCCACAGCCAUGGAUAUCCUUCCUUUCAGGCAGUGCCUAAUUUUUCUUUUUGCUAUCCUCCCCACAAGUAGUCUUUAAAAUUUUCUUUUCUAUUUUUGUCAUUGUAAACUACAAAUAGAAUAACAGAAAACACAAGGAAGAUACAUUUUCACCAUCUAUAUACUCUCAGAUUUUCUUGACAAUUUUCCCUAAAUAAAUCCUCUUUUGAUCCAAAGGGCAUCUUUGUCACCCACCAACCCAUAUUUCUGCAAACUGCCCCACUUACCAAGACUUUGGUUGGACCAUAAGUAGAUACUUUUGACAUAACAAAACAAGUGAUGCAGAUCAAAGAGUUCUAGUCAAAGAACAUAAGUGGUAUAUACAGGAUAUUUUUCAAGGAAGAACAUGAGCAAAAUUAUAGCACAGCUGUCGAAUGUAACAUACACAAUGUAGUUUUCAGAGAAGACAAGAGACAAGUGAAGUCACAACCACCUUUGAAUAUUUGUUAUAUAGGCAUUCAUUUCACUGGAAAAUAUAGCACCACAUCAAGAUAGGAAAAGAAAAGGAACUUCUAUGUGCACCACAAAUCAACAUAAGAUUAGCUGAUAAACCAAGAGAGAGCCACAUAGCCAACCAUGCAGAUGACUACACACACCAACUAAGAAGUCCCUUGUAGGAAACGUAUCUGUUUUAUCUGGCUAGUGAUGUGUUAGUUGAAAGAGAGAAAUCAGAGACUUCAACUCUCCCCCUAAGAAUGCAUGUCCCUAACCAGCAGUUGUACAAACUACAAAGUGCCAUGUCGCCAAUAACUUGCAAUUUUGAUUUCAUCCUUCUAUAUAGUGAAGGUCAAACUCCUGAUUUCAUCCACAGGAAUUUGAUAUGGAUGAUGCCAGAGGCACCACAUGAAUCGCACACACAUCAGCAUAAGCACAUCAAUGCAUCACAUUAUGCCAAAUAAUUGAAAGAAGAGGUACCAAUUCAUUAUUCAUCCAUUUGGAGCAUUUAAAGUUUGAGGUCAGUGCAAAAAUAACAGAAAUGAAAACCAAUGGUAACAUAGAUGUAAAUUAUAGAAAAAGUUCUCUUUGGUCAUAACAUUAAAUCCAAGUUGCCAGGAUGACAAAUUAAUGGUUGAUGUGACAUGACAGUGGAGAAUCACAGCAAAAAAACAAAAAAGAAGCAUGAAAGCAGGCUUAGUAACAGGUACAAGAGUUGAUACCAGAGACAUUAAAACAGAUAAAGAAAUUCGUAAUAACUCAUCAUAUCAAAAAGCUUCUGAUCAUUUAAUUUCACUUGUCCUUCUCUCAAAAUGAAUUUAUUCUACUUCCCUAAUCAAGAAACACCUGAACUUUUAUAUAUAUAACAGAACAGAUGUAUAUCUAACAAGUGCAUAUAUUUGAGAAAUGAUAUUGCAUCUAUAAAUCCUUUUCCUCUUCAUUCAGAUCGAGAAUUUUAAUACUUUCAAGAGUGACCAAGGAAAGUUGGUUCAAUCUCUCUUAAGAGUCAUUCUCAAUUGAUCCCGUCACUUAUGAAGAAUGCUCAUGCUUCUUCCCUGAAAAUAGGCAUGUUUACUAUGGAUUGUCCUAUUUAAUAUUAUCCAUCUAGAAGGGGUUAGGCAAAUUCACCAUUUACCUUGGCAACACACUCAAAUUAGGACAAGGAACUAACUGGUCAUAGGAGGCACAAGCGCAACUGGACUAUGAGCUAGUUUCAUGCAGUUAGGGAGAAAAGAAAAAAGGACUAGAUCAUCAAGAUUUAAAUAUAUAUCUGGUUCAGGCUGCUCAAAAUCUUACGAAAGGAAACAAAAUGGAUGGAAAAUCUGCCUUGCAAAAACUGCAGUUCACAAGUCUUAUAGGCAAUGUCAUCCAAAUGGCUGCCACGCUGAUCUCCAAAAUAUGAAGUUUCAAAAAGGCUUCUCAUCCGGUAUAGGAACUUACAUUCUUAAUUGAAUUAGAUCACAAUAUAUUCUUUUACCUGAUAAUAGAUGAGGAUUGCAGACUCGAUGAAAUUUGAUCUACAGGCAUCACAAAUCUCCUCGUUCUGUUUCUCUUCACCAAUGGUUCCCUUUCUCAACCGCCUAUAGGAGAUGGCUGCCCACUGGAAAAUAUCAUCAAAGCAGUAUCUACUAUUAAGCGUGUUUGGCCCUCCUAGAGUUCUUCCAGCUCAAAAAAUCUCAAAGCCAAGAACUUUAGCUGAUUACUUUUAAGAACUGAUUGCCUUCCCUUUGUAGCUGCCAGUUGAACUACAAACGGAGGGUUCCAUGCUGGUCAUUAUUCCUUCUUGAGUGCUAUUUUUGCAGCAACAUAUUCCAGCUUAUUUUGUGGGUCAAUGAUCCAGCACCUAUACUUGCAUUUGGCCUUACUUUUCCAAUUAAACUUGUUACUUCUCCCUGUGGGUUCCUGCUCUAGGAAGAUAAAUGCUAUUGCAAGCUCACAAUUAUAGGAUAUUUCCUGGGUUUUUCUAGAGGUUCCUGUCAGAACCAUCAUUAUAGUUCUCUCCGCACAUGAAAACCCCACUUUCCCUGGAUCCAUACAAGCUAUCAUCUAGAUGUUCUGAUUCCAAUUCCCCUUCCAACAUAACGAUGAUAAGAUUCAGGAUGGUCAAAUUCAUUCCAUCCUUUAUUCUAUAAUCAUACAUCAGCUUGAUCAACAGUCAAGACCAUUUACAUCACACUCAUUUAACAGUCAAGCAUAAAAAAGACACACAGGUGGCCUCUGUCCAUGAACAUCUUUUCCUUUUGAACACAUGAUUCCUAAUACAACUCCUCUUCCAUUUCUACGCAUUAUCUUCCUCAACUUCAGCGAU
Molecule: long non-coding RNA, 3502 nt
Filed under: Musa acuminata (dwarf banana)
Lineage: Eukaryota; Viridiplantae; Streptophyta; Magnoliopsida; Zingiberales; Musaceae
Description: long non-coding RNA (MACU_LNC003074)
Source: RNAcentral